RNAcentral lists this small RNA (27 nucleotides) under Arabidopsis thaliana (thale cress). Its description in RNAcentral is "ATSL080460". Lineage: Eukaryota; Viridiplantae; Streptophyta; Magnoliopsida; Brassicales; Brassicaceae. The record is from RNAcentral.
UGAUGCAAAACAAAGAAAUGGCAGCGG